Molecule: ribosomal RNA, 467 nt
Filed under: uncultured bacterium
Lineage: Bacteria
Description: bacterial SSU rRNA
Rfam family: Bacterial small subunit ribosomal RNA
Source: RNAcentral
GGGCCAGACUCCUACGGGAGGCAGCAGUGAGGAAUAUUGGUCAAUGGCCGCAGGGCUGAACCAGCCAAGUCGCGUGAGGGAUGACGGUCCUAUGGAUUGUAAACCUCUUUUGUCAGGGAGCAAAGGCGUCCACGUGUGGACGAGAGGAGAGUACCUGAAGAAAAAGCAUCGGCUAACUCCGUGCCAGCAGCCGCGGUAAUACGGAGGAUGCGAGCGUUAUCCGGAUUUAUUGGGUUUAAAGGGUGCGUAGGCGGAGUGUCAAGUCAGCGGUAAAAUUUCGGGGCUCAACCCCGUCGUGCCGUUGAAACUGACGCCCUUGAGUGAGUGAGAAGUAAGCGGAAUGCGUGGUGUAGCGGUGAAAUGCAUAGAUAUCACGCAGAACUCCGAUUGCGAAGGCAGCAUACCGGCGCGCAACUGACGCUCAUGCACGAAAGCGUGGGUAUCGAACAGGAUUAGAUACCCUGGUA